UACGAAGGGGGCUAGCGUUGUUCGGAAUUACUGGGCGUAAAGGGCUCGUAGGCGGCCAACUAAGUCGGAUGUGAAAUCCCCAGGCUCAACCUGGGAACUGCAUCCGAUACUGGAUGGCUUGAAUUCGGGAGAGGGAUGCAGAAUUCCAGGUGUAGCGGUGAAAUGCGCAGAUAUCAGGAGGAACACCGGUGGCGAAAGCGGCGCACUGGACCACAACUGACGCUGAGGCGCGAAAGCUAGGGGAGCAAACAGG
RNAcentral lists this ribosomal RNA (253 nucleotides) under uncultured bacterium. Its description in RNAcentral is "partial 16S ribosomal RNA". It matches the Rfam family "Bacterial small subunit ribosomal RNA", at positions 524 to 776 of the family's 1533-position model. The record is from RNAcentral.